CGGACGGGUGAGUAAUGCUUAGGAAUCUGCCUAUUAGUGGGGGACAACAUUUCGAAAGGAAUGCUAAUACCGCAUACGUCCUACGGGAGAAAGCAGGGGAUCUUCGGACCUUGCGCUAAUAGAUGAGCCUAAGUCGGAUUAGCUAGUUGGUGGGGUAAAGGCCUACCAAGGCGACGAUCUGUAGCGGGUCUGAGAGGAUGAUCCGCCACACUGGGACUGAGACACGGCCCAGACUCCUACGGGAGGCAGCAGUGGGGAAUAUUGGACAAUGGGCGCAAGCCUGAUCCAGCCAUGCCGCGUGUGUGAAGAAGGCCUUAUGGUUGUAAAGCACUUUAAGCGAGGAGGAGGCUACUUUAGUUAAUACCUAGAGAUAGUGGACGUUACUCGCAGAAUAAGCACCGGCUAACUCUGUGCCAGCAGCCGCGGUAAUACAGAGGGUGCAAGCGUUAAUCGGAUUUACUGGGCGUAAAGCGCGCGUAGGCGGCUAAUUAAGUCAAAUGUGAAAUCCCCGAGCUUAACUUGGGAAUUGCAUUCGAUACUGGUUAGCUAGAGUGUGGGAGAGGAUGGUAGAAUUCCAGGUGUAGCGGUGAAAUGCGUAGAGAUCUGGAGGAAUACCGAUGGCGAAGGCAGCCAUCUGGCCUAACACUGACGCUGAGGUGCGAAAGCAUGGGGAGCAAACAGGAUUAGAUACCCUGGUAGUCCAUGCCGUAAACGAUGUCUACUAGCCGUUGGGGCCUUUGAGGCUUUAGU
Molecule: ribosomal RNA, 750 nt
Filed under: uncultured Gammaproteobacteria bacterium
Lineage: Bacteria; Pseudomonadati; Pseudomonadota; Gammaproteobacteria
Description: bacterial SSU rRNA
Rfam family: Bacterial small subunit ribosomal RNA
Source: RNAcentral